RNAcentral lists this ribosomal RNA (254 nucleotides) under uncultured bacterium. RNAcentral describes it as "partial 16S ribosomal RNA". It matches the Rfam family "Bacterial small subunit ribosomal RNA", at positions 524 to 776 of the family's 1533-position model. The record is from RNAcentral.
UACGAGGGGGGGCUAGCGUUGCUCGGAAUCACUGGGCGUAAAGCGCACGUAGGCGGCUUCUUAAGUCAGGGGUGAAAUCCUGGAGCUCAACUCCAGAACUGCCUUUGAUACUGAGUAGCUUGAGUCCGGGAGAGGUGAGUGGAAUUCCCAGUGUAGCGGUGAAAUGCGUAGAUAUCAGGAAGAACACCCGUGGCGAAGGCGGUUCUCUGGGACGGUACUGACGCUGAGACGCGAAAGCGUGGGGAGCGAACAGG